RNAcentral lists this ribosomal RNA (372 nucleotides) under uncultured organism. RNAcentral's name for it is "bacterial SSU rRNA". It matches the Rfam family "Bacterial small subunit ribosomal RNA", at positions 526 to 896 of the family's 1533-position model. The record is from RNAcentral.
CGAAGGGUGCAAGCGUUACUCGGAAUUACUGGGCGUAAAGCGUGCGUAGGUGGUUCGUUAAGUCUGAUGUGAAAGCCCUGGGCUCAACCUGGGAAUGGCAUUGGAUACUGGCGACCUAGAGUGCGGUAGAGGGUAGUGGAAUUCCCGGUGUAGCAGUGAAAUGCGUAGAUAUCGGGAGGAACAUCUGUGGCGAAGGCGACUACCUGGACCAGCACUGACACUGAGGCACGAAAGCGUGGGGAGCAAACAGGAUUAGAUACCCUGGUAGUCCACGCCCUAAACGGUGCGAACUGGAUGUUGGGUGCAACUUGGCACUCAGUAUCGAAGCUAACGCGUUAAGUUCGCCGCCUGGGAAGUACGGUCGCAAGACUG